UGAGUGGCGGACGGGUGAGUAACACGUGGGUAACCUGCCCAGAAGCAGGGGAUAACACCUGGAAACAGAUGCUAAUACCGUAUAACAGAGAAAACCGCCUGGUUUUCUUUUAAAAGAUGGCUCUGCUAUCACUUCUGGAUGGACCCGCGGCGCAUUAGCUAGUUGGUGAGGUAACGGCUCACCAAGGCGAUGAUGCGUAGCCGACCUGAGAGGGUAAUCGGCCACAUUGGGACUGAGACACGGCCCAGACUCCUACGGGAGGCAGCAGUAGGGAAUCUUCCACAAUGGACGCAAGUCUGAUGGAGCAACGCCGCGUGAGUGAAGAAGGGUUUCGGCUCGUAAAGCUCUGUUGUUAAAGAAGAACGUGGGUGAGAGUAACUGUUCACCCAGUGACGGUAUUUAACCAGAAAGCCACGGCUAACUACGUGCCAGCAGCCGCGGUAAUACGUAGGUGGCAAGCGUUAUCCGGAUUUAUUGGGCGUAAAGCGAGCGCAGGCGGUCUUUUAAGUCUAAUGUGAAAGCCUUCGGCUCAACCGAAGAAGUGCAUUGGAAACUGGGAGACUUGAGUGCAGAAGAGGACAGUGGAACUCCAUGUGUAGCGGUGAAAUGCGUAGAUAUAUGGAAGAACACCAGUGGCGAAGGCGGCUGUCUGGUCUGUAACUGACGCUGAGGCUCGAAAGCAUGGGUAGCGAACAGGAUUAGAUACCCUGGUAGUCCAUGCCGUAAACGAUGAUUACUAAGUGUUGGAGGGUUUCCGCCCUUCAGUGCUGCAGCUAACGCAUUAAGUAAUCCGCCUGGGGAGUACGACCGCAAGGUUGAAACUCAAAAGAAUUGACGGGGGCCCGCACAAGCGGUGGAGCAUGUGGUUUAAUUCGAAGCUACGCGAAGAACCUUACCAGGUCUUGACAUCUUCUGCCAACCUAAGAGAUUAGGCGUUCCCUUCGGGGACAGAAUGACAGGUGGUGCAUGGUUGUCGUCAGCUCGUGUCGUGAGAUGUUGGGUUAAGUCCCGCAACGAGCGCAACCCUUAUUACUAGUUGCCAGCAUUCAGUUGGGCACUCUAGUGAGACUGCCGGUGACAAACCGGAGGAAGGUGGGGACGACGUCAAAUCAUCAUGCCCCUUAUGACCUGGGCUACACACGUGCUACAAUGGAUGGUACAACGAGUCGCGAAACCGCGAGGUUUAGCUAAUCUCUUAAAACCAUUCUCAGUUCGGACUGUAGGCUGCAACUCGCCUACACGAAGUCGGAAUCGCUAGUAAUCGCGGAUCAGCAUGCCGCGGUGAAUACGUUCCCGGGCCUUGUACACACCGCCCGUCACACCAUGAGAGUUUGUAACACCCAAAGCCGGUGGGGUAACCUUUUAGGAGCUAGCCGUCUA
Molecule: ribosomal RNA, 1380 nt
Filed under: Pediococcus acidilactici
Lineage: Bacteria; Bacillati; Bacillota; Bacilli; Lactobacillales; Lactobacillaceae
Description: bacterial SSU rRNA
Rfam family: Bacterial small subunit ribosomal RNA
Source: RNAcentral